AUUGAACGCUGGCGGCAUGCUUUACACAUGCAAGUCGAACGGCAGCGCGGGCUUCGGCCUGGCGGCGAGUGGCGAACGGGUGAGUAAUGCAUCGGAACGUGCCCAGUAGUGGGGGAUAGCCCGGCGAAAGCCGGAUUAAUACCGCAUACGACCUGAGGGUGAAAGCGGGGGACCGAAAGGCCUCGCGCCAUUGGAGCGGCCGAUGUCGGAUUAGCUGGUUGGUGGGGUAAAGGCUUACCAAGGCGACGAUCCGUAGCUGGUCUGAGAGGCCGACCAGCCACACUGGGACUGGGACCCGGCCCGGACUCCUACGGGAGGCAGCAGUGGGGAAUUUUGGACAAUGGGGGCAACCCUGAUCCAGCCAUGCCGCGGGCGGGAAGAAGGCCUUCGGGUUGUAAACCGCUUUUGUUCGGGAAGAAAUCCUCUGGGCUAAUACCCCGGGGGGAUGACGGUACCGGAAGAAUAGGCACCGGCAAACUACGU
This 483-nucleotide ribosomal RNA is filed under the name uncultured bacterium. RNAcentral's name for it is "partial 16S ribosomal RNA". It matches the Rfam family "Bacterial small subunit ribosomal RNA", at positions 28 to 506 of the family's 1533-position model. The record is from RNAcentral.